UACGGAGGGUGCAAGCGUUAUCCGGAAUCACUGGGUUUAAAGGGUGCGUAGGCGGGCCAGUAAGUCAGAGGUGAAAGCCCACCGCUUAACGGUGGAAUUGCCUUUGAUACUGUUGGUCUUGAAUUAGGUUGAGGUUAGCGGAAUGUGGCAUGUAGCGGUGAAAUGCUUAGAUAUGCCAUAGAACACCGAUUGCGAAGGCAGCUAACUGGCCCUUGAUUGACGCUGAGGCACGAAAGCGUGGGGAGCGAACAGG
Molecule: ribosomal RNA, 253 nt
Filed under: uncultured bacterium
Lineage: Bacteria
Description: partial 16S ribosomal RNA
Rfam family: Bacterial small subunit ribosomal RNA
Source: RNAcentral